Molecule: long non-coding RNA, 4000 nt
Organism: Alligator mississippiensis (American alligator)
Lineage: Eukaryota; Metazoa; Chordata; Crocodylia; Alligatoridae
Exons: 3
Source: RefSeq, a predicted model, not a curated record
AGUGCUGCUGAGGCCAGUAGGGCCAGCACCAUGGCCAGCAGGAGUGCAGGGGGCUGGUUGUCAUUGGCAGGAGCAGAUAUAGCCUGGGGAAGCAGGGUGGGCAGCUCCUGGGCAGGGAAGGGGCUGGCCAGAGAUCAAAGGGUGAGGAUGUGUUUCCAAGGUGGCUUCCAAGUGCUGGCAGCAGGUUUUGGGUUCUAAAAAUGGCUACCAAGUGCUGGCAGCUAGGGCAAGAGUCUGGAGCUCCCCCCAGUGGCCAUAAUCACACACGGCUGGGCUGAAGGGACUUGGCACUAGAUUUACUGCCAAGUCUCUGCACGUGUAGACACCUGCCAAAAAUGCUUACGGUGCUUUAGUUUAAUGCACAUUACAUUUAGUCAUGAUUAAUUGUAUGUGUAGACACUCCCAUAGAGUAGUAGAGUUGACCCUAUGUAUAAAGCAGGCAUUCUAUAUUUCAAAUGCUACUACAAUAAUUAGCAUGGGGUAAGUGAACCACUCUUUCUGAGUAGAAGAUCACAAUAUGCCUGGAGUAAAGAAUCACUGCUGUGCAGAAAAAUGUGUGGAAGACUUACAAAACAAGCCUUGAGAAGAAACACACAGGUAAAGUAAUAUUGCCUCUUGAAUUACUUGGUCAGAUUUAUAUUGGCACAGUCUGUAGUACUGUAGUCUAAUUAAUAGGUCAUUGGAACAUGAGUCCUGGGAUGUAUAUUCUUGCUUUAGCUCUCCUACCUGAAGUUGGGCAGCAGUCUGCCUUUAUUUAUGAGUCCAUCAUUUUUUUUCUCUGCUAUGUUUAAGUUGUUGAGUUUUGAGUGGUAGGCAGUUUUGAGAGAAACUGCCUACUGCUGCGCACUUGAAUAGAGCCUAGCACCAUGCUUUUGAUUGGAGCAAAAUAAUGUACCUCAUUCUUUGAAAUACCUCAGUGUCAUGAAGCAUGUCAAUUGUUCAUAAAUUUGACUUAGAGUUAGAAACAGGACCUUACCAAAGACAGGUAACUUGACUAUAGAUGCACUAUUUUCAUCAUCUUAUCAGGCAUUAUCAGGACUUUCCAUUGACAAACCUGUAGGAGAGGGAAUGCCACUCAGAAAAUGCUGAAAUUUAAAUUUAUGAAGACAUUCCAUUGGCUAGUAUGGACUGAUGUAGCUCCUUUGAACUCGGUGGAGUUGCACUUAUUUAUACCAGCUGAUCAUCUGGGUAUGGAAUUCCUGUGGUAUAUUUCCUUUUGACUGCCAAGUUUUAUGACUUGCCAGAAAGGCUGGGUUUUGGAACCAGAUUACAUGUAUUGCUGAUGUCCUGAAAUCAUUGAGAAAACCUAUGAAUCUUUGGGUAUCUGUUCUGUUCUGCUAUUCACACUCCCCUUCUUAUUAUGGUGGAGUAACCAUCUGUGCGAUUCCUUGGCUGGAUGUUUACCUUGCUUGGUUCAGCUCUCUCCUUCUAUACCUUUUCGGGCAGAUAGUUUAACCUGCUGACUUAACUUUUAUAGUGCUGAAUGCUCAUGCUCUUUCUUGUCACAACUUGAACUUAAAAUUUCUUGUGAAUGGGAGAAAGGUCUUUGAUCUCUUGGCACCGACACCUGGCAAGAUCAAGUGCUGUCUCCUGGGGCUCUGCCUGCCCUGCACCCCACCUGGCACCAACCCAAUGUCACACUCCCAAUCAGGUAAGUAAAAGCUCAUGGCCCUACUGCAAUACCGUCUUCAACAAUGUCCAAAAGAAAAAUACCCUGUCAACUUCUUGGGGCUACACAAUCCUUUAAUUCUUAUCACUUGCCCAGUGUCCAUGAAUCCCCUUUUAGAGAGGGGUUGGGGGAUGAACCAUGCAAUAAUUGCUCACUAGUUCCCUUUUACUCAUGCUUCUGACACCUUCUUAUUUUCUUUCCACAGGAACCUUGCUGUCCCGGACCCGCUCAUUGCGACGAGACUUUCACACAUGUUCCUCCGGGCCUGCCUGCCUGCCUGAGCUGCACAUGGGUCCAGUGCUUCUCUCCACGGCUGCAGUGCCCCCCAGGAUUGCCAGGGCUGGGUGCCUACAGGCCCCCCUGCAGCUCAGGGACCAUUUGGCCUGCCAGCAGCUCACCUUUCAUCUCCCACCACUGGAGAAACAGGUCUCAUUUACAUCCGAGAUGGAACCAGAUGACCAUUCAUUUACAUGAGAGAUGGAAAACAGAAAGCCUGAAGCAGAGACUGCAGUGAAUUAUGGGACCAGAGAAGCAGGAGAGCGCUGCAUGAUGGGGAAUCUGUGCUUCCAAUGUUAAUCAACCCAUGUUCACACACACCCAGCUCAGCAUUUAUCAGUCCAGUUCUAAUCUGGAUUUGCUAAGGAUUCCCCCCCCCGACACACACACACAGCUCUAAGUUUAAUAGGCAUCUCGGGCCGUACAUUCCCUGGUCCCACUAUGGGAGGCCUAUUUAAACUUGAUUGACUAAAACUCGGUUGCCGGGUUAGGGAAUGCUGAGGCAAGAGACCGAGUCAGAGGGGGUAUGGGCAACAUUUGAACAACGGUUAAGGGUUCAUCACAGCAUCCAGCCUGCUGUAGCCCUAAUCCCAGGUGUUGUCAUAUCUUUCCUGAGAUGACUGGUGGAAGUCCUCUCCACAAAAGGUUAUGAGCACCCCAAUAAUUGCUUUAAGUCUGUUAAAAGACUAUAGUAAGAUCUGGAAAAAGUCAUGCUAAGCUGAGGCUUGUGCACAACAAGUAAAAAUCCAAAAUCCUGAUGCUGCAAGCUAUCUAUUGUUCCUGAAGAAACCAUGAGAUAUCCCAUCAGGAUAUCUGCCAUCCAUAGGAAUUUCAAGCUGGCUCCCAAGUAUUUGGGUUACUCCCUAAUCUUAAGUGUUUCCUGAUUAUCAGUGAGUUUCCUGAGAUGGUCCAAACCAGAUAACCCCUUGUCAAUAGAAAAGACAAUGAUUUACACUACUGAGGGUGCUUUGAAGCAGUUGAACUGAGGGUAUAAAAAUCUGUAAGUGUGUGUGCUGCAAAAGAAGAGAGAAAAAAAAGAAGCAGCAGGAGGAAAGGAGAGGAAAAGGAAAGAAGAAGAAAACUCCUGUGCUGACACCAUCCCCUGUCAUUCUUGGGACGCUGGAAGAACAGAUAGUCUCUCUCUUCAAGGAUUGUGCUACAAACUGUGCCUGUCAGCUUUGCAGCCUGAGUACCGUGGACUAGGUGAGACCCCAGCGUUCUCUCUCUUCUUUCUAGGCAUAAACUUCUGAACCUGAACUGUAUCAGUUAAGCUUGAGCUAAGUUUCCCCCAAAUACUUAGUGAAACCAGGGUAGUAUUGUCAUUGUUGGUGUUUGUUUUUCUUUUGCAUGUCUAUUACUACUAGUUCCAUUAUAUAUUUCAUAUGCUUAGCAAUAAAUAACUUUUAUAGUCAAACUGGUAGUAAUUGGGUAUAUUUUUCCUUCUCUGCUUCUCUUUCCUCCCGUGCUCUGCAGCAACGCUUCUUUUACCUAUGCUAAAGAUCCCUGUGAAGCCCAAAUUAUUGUGGGGUCUGCUCAUUAAGAGGCCAAAGAUUGGGACGUGCUGAGUUUGAAACACAUAAGGGGAUCAGCUUGUACAGGCUGAUUGACCCAGUUUGACUCAGACGCGCCCUUAUGAACUGAAUGCUGGCCCAUGAGGGUGUCAGCUGGACACCCAGCUGGAUUCAGAAGGAUUCUGUUUACCUGUGUGCUUGUGUCUGACUGCAUUUUAUUGUUGCUCUUAUAAACUGAUUCUUGGCAUAUGAGGGUGUCAGCCUGUCCAUGCUGAUCAGCCCGGCCAGGUCAGGCGUGUCACGUUAAUUUGUGUGUGUUUGUGUGUAUGACUGAUUUGGUGACUGGAGGAACCCAGUCCCAUUGAGAUUGAAUCCGGCAAGAUAGCUCCACUGGGGGUGAGGGCUUGCAGAAGGGAGAAAUACAGCUCCGUAUAGUAACACAAGCAGCACAUUGACAGGAUCACCAAGACCCUAGAAACUAUCCCUAAUAAAUGAGCACACCCCAAAGUAAUGGGCAAAUUUGGUAACAUUGGGGGGCUGCAGC